Molecule: ribosomal RNA, 261 nt
Filed under: uncultured bacterium
Lineage: Bacteria
Description: partial 16S ribosomal RNA
Rfam family: Bacterial small subunit ribosomal RNA
Source: RNAcentral
GUCCACGCCCUAAACGAUGAUUACUCGACAUACGCGAUACACAGUGUGUGUCUGAGCGAAAGCAUUAAGUAAUCCACCUGGGAAGUACGACCGCAAGGUUGAAACUCAAAGGAAUUGACGGGGGUACGCACAAGCGGUGGAGCAUGUGGUUUAAUUCGAUGAUACGCGAGGAACCUUACCUGGGCUAGAAUGCUACUUGACGAAUCCUGAAAGGGGUUUUUAUAGCAAUAUACAGGUAGUAAGGUGCUGCAUGGCUGUCGU